AAAAACAUGUNUUUUUGAAAAUAAUAAAAAGUCUAAUCUGCCCACUGAAUUUAUUUAAAGGGCUGCAGUAUACUGACUGUACAAAGGUAGCAUAAUCAAUAGUCUUUUAAUUGAAGACUUGUAUGAAUGAUUUGAUGAAAUAUGAACUGUCUCUUUUUUAAAAAUAAAAUUUAAUUUUUUAGUUAAAAAGCUAAAAUAAUUAUAAAAGACGAGAAGACCCUAUAGAGUUUUAUAGUUACUUAAUUUAAAAAUUUUAUAUAUAAUUUAAAUUUAAAAUUAAUUAAUUAUUUUAUUGGGGUGAUAGAAAAAUUAAAAAAACUUUUUUUUAAAAAUUUAACAUUAAUUUAUGAAAUUAUGAUCCAUAAUUUAUGAUUAAAAGAAUCAAUUACCUUAGGGAUAACAGCGUAAUUUUUUUUUUUAGUACAAAUAAGAAAAAGAGUUUGCGACCUCGAUGUUGGAUUAAGAUAAAAUUUAAAUGCAAAAGUUUAAAAUUUUUGAUCUGUUCGAUCAUUAAAAUCUUACAUGAUCUGA
The sequence is a ribosomal RNA, 531 nucleotides long. The stretch from base 396 to 531 matches the Rfam family "Bacterial large subunit ribosomal RNA", at positions 2473 to 2608 of the family's 2925-position model.